AAAAAAAGUACCGACAAUUAGAUCAUUGACAAAAAAAACAAACAAUAAACAAAAACAAGUUACUUAGACUUAUUGCAGUAAUUUCAAUUACAUGUAUAAGUCUCAAUAAAUUUAUCAUGAACUAAACGUGCGUACAGAAGAGUUUUUCCAGCAUCACUUAAACCCGUGAGCAAAAUACUGCGUCCUGCAGAUUUUCUUCUCCGCCAUGUGAAGAAAACUGAAAAUGAAUUUUUAUAUUAAUUAACAAACCAUAAAAAAUAUGCGGACAUUAAAUUUAAAAUUAAUCAGCACAAAAUAAAUUAUAAGACUUGCAAGUGUCAAAUGCAUAAAUUUCUAGUAUGAUUUUUUUAUCAUAAAUAACAGUAAUCUUUUAACUGAAAUUUAUAAAAUUAAUGCUAUGUAUUCGUUUUUGUACUACAUGUAUUAUUACAAUGUAUUGUGUGCAUAUUUUUUAUUUUUAAUACUACUGAUGUUUUACAAUUAUUGUAAAUACUAUGAAAUACGUUUGUCUUAAAUAAAUUUUUGUAAUUUUUA
This is a long non-coding RNA of Microplitis demolitor, 534 nucleotides long. RefSeq lists it as uncharacterized. The record is from RefSeq and is a predicted model, not a curated record. The transcript has 2 exons. NCBI's taxonomy places the organism in Eukaryota, Metazoa, Arthropoda, Insecta, Hymenoptera, Braconidae.